GCUAGUGCGUACUUUCGUCGGGCGAACAUGAUGCAAGCACUGUGUUUGUCGCCGCCAUGUCUCUGGCAAGGGAGUUAGCUGCUCUCUUUGUGUACUGUCGUUUUCAAGAAAAUCGUCUUUUCAAUUUAGGAAGCGAGCGAGGUUCAUUCAGUCUUCUUUGCUCAUACCCGCUGCAAACAGCCUGUGUUGCCUUGGCUACGCCACAAGUCUCUCAACGGUGGAGACUACAUGGAUGAUGGCGUGGGUUUUGCAAUCCUUUCUCAGUCUUGUAGAGAAGGCGCAGAACCAGGGGCCUUCUCCUGCCUGUUGUCUCCUUUGUUUCACCGUGUCCUGUUCUCGUGCGACAGACGGCAUGCUUUUUCGCAUGCUCUCUGUCAUUGUCGAGGCUCAUUUAAGAAGUGUUUCUUUUUUUCGAUGCCUUUGCUUGUUGCCUUCAUGUGAGAGAUGACUGGAAUUUGGUCGCGCGUAGAUGCUACUGCCGCCAUACAAAACAAUUCACGCUCAGCUACUCGCCACCCUUUUUUGUUGCAUUUCUACCCGUUCUCUGCUAUGUCGGUUGCCGUUUAGAAAUGUUGAUAAUGAGGUUUUUUGAGCAAGCAGACGCUUCCAAUAGAAAGCCGCAGGAGAAAUAAUGCGCUCCAGUAGUGGGAAGCCGCCUAGGCAUCGAUACGCCAUGGGAUUGUAUCAGGCGCGCAGCUCGCGUGAGAACUGCCAAAUGAAAUUGGGGAGCACGGAUGAGCAAACUAGCCAAAAAAUGCGUAUGCACUCCACCCUCUUUCGUUUUUCCUCGGCGGCCUCGGGCACAGGCGCGAGGCACGGAGCAGCCAGGCCCAUGGGGACGAAGGGAACUUGUGUUGAAUACCCGAGAAGACCUGGCAGACGCAACGAAGAGAGACUGUGUGUCGGUCCUCCGUUCAUCGUCUGUUGUUGCGUUGCGUGCUAUCUUCCAGGGACUCGAAGACGGCCAAGCAACGGUAAGCAACCUCUUUUGUUCGUCCUUCAAAACAAGGCCAGCCACGCCUUAGUGGUCUCUUCUUUCCACAGAAAGCGUCUCCUGUUAUGCCGCCUCGUUUUGUUUGUAGUAUCUAGAUUCAGUCAUUCAGUUCUCGGGAAACGUGUCCCUAGAGAAUCUGAUGGAACUCGCAUCCCGUACACUUCAUCUUCGCCUCUUGUGUCCUGGCCAGUUCUUUUUUUUUAACGAGUUCACCCUUUGCUGUUUCGCGAAGGUGAAGAAGCCUACGUCCGUGGCUGCCCUUCCGCCUCAAUCUGCUCUUAACACUUCCUUUCAUCUAUUGUCCCACACCCCCUUCGUGUUCGGAACCUACCAGUCUGUAUUCGCUUGCCUCCACAUUUUCAUCGGCGGCUCUACGCGUCUGCUCUUGCGUGCAUGUGGAAGACCUGUGUCAGCUGGCCCGCAGCGAAACCACAUGUGCAUGCGUCCCCCAAGCGUUUUGCAACGACCUGCGUGUCUGUCCAAGUGUGCCCACUGCAAGUUCCGCUA
RNAcentral lists this long non-coding RNA (1501 nucleotides) under Toxoplasma gondii VEG. The record is from RNAcentral. Lineage: Eukaryota; Apicomplexa; Conoidasida; Eucoccidiorida; Sarcocystidae.